UCAAAGCAAAAACGCGCGGAUCCUGGCUGCAUUCGGGUCGAUUUUCGGGUAUGUUGCAAAACGGCGUCGUUUUGGCCACUGGUACUUAAGUCCAAAACGACGCUGUGUUGUAUCCUAUAUAAAUAGAAAAAAAAAAGAAAAAAAACAUUUCAACUUUCAUUUUUUCAAAAAAAAUCUGAGAGUUCUCUCAGUCUCUCUCAUCCUUCCCCC
RNAcentral lists this long non-coding RNA (210 nucleotides) under Gossypium raimondii (Peruvian cotton). Its description in RNAcentral is "long non-coding RNA (GRAI_LNC004435)". The record is from RNAcentral. Lineage: Eukaryota; Viridiplantae; Streptophyta; Magnoliopsida; Malvales; Malvaceae.